UGCGCAGGCGGCGUCGCAAGUCAGGCGUGAAAUCCCCGGGCUUAACCUGGGAACUGCACUUGAAACUACGAUGCUGGAGUAUGGCAGAGGGAGGUGGAAUUCCACGUGUAGCGGUGAAAUGCGUAGAGAUGUGGAGGAACACCGAUGGCGAAGGCAGCCUCCUGGGCCAAUACUGACGCUCAUGCACGAAAGCGUGGGGAGCAAACA
Molecule: ribosomal RNA, 207 nt
Filed under: uncultured bacterium
Lineage: Bacteria
Description: partial 16S ribosomal RNA
Rfam family: Bacterial small subunit ribosomal RNA
Source: RNAcentral